Molecule: unclassified non-coding RNA, 249 nt
Filed under: Hevea brasiliensis (rubber tree)
Lineage: Eukaryota; Viridiplantae; Streptophyta; Magnoliopsida; Malpighiales; Euphorbiaceae
Source: RNAcentral
UGGCGGUGCUGGGGUUCCACUAUCUAUGCCAUACAAUAUGUCAAGAGGCUAUGGAUCACUAGUUCCAAUGCGUCAUGAUUAUGGGCCAUCUAUGGGCAUGGGACCUCCUAGCCCAUAUGGACUAAUAUCUGCAUAUGGUCCACCUGGAGCCAUGGGAGGCAUGGGUUAUGGCCCUGGUCUUGCUAUGAACCAAUAUGGAUAUGGGUACCGUGGAUCUCCACUGCCGGUUACUGGAUCAUGGACUCCUGA